GAGGGUAUAGCUCAGUGGUAGAGUGCAUGCCUAGUAUGCACGAGGUCCUGGUUCAAUCCUGAGUACUUCCA
This 71-nucleotide transfer RNA is filed under the name Camelus bactrianus (Bactrian camel). It matches the Rfam family "tRNA". Rfam says of the family: Transfer RNA (tRNA) molecules are approximately 80 nucleotides in length. Their secondary structure includes four short double-helical elements and three loops (D, anti-codon, and T loops). The record is from Rfam by way of RNAcentral. Lineage: Eukaryota; Metazoa; Chordata; Mammalia; Artiodactyla; Camelidae. RNAcentral also lists the same sequence under 1 other name.